CUAAUACAUGCAAGUCGAGCGAGCGGAACCAACAGAUUUACUUCGGUAAUGACGUUGGGAGAGCGAGCGGCGGAUGGGUGAGUAACACGUGGGGAACCUGCCCCUAAGUCUGGGAUACCAUUUGGAAACAGGUGCUAAUACCGGAUAAUAAAGCAGAUCGCAUGAUCAGCUUUUGAAAGGCGGCGUAAGCUGUCGCUAAGGGAUGGCCCCGCGGUGCAUUAGCUAGUUGGUAAGGUAACGGCUUACCAAGGCGACGAUGCAUAGCCGAGUUGAGAGACUGAUCGGCCACAUUGGGACUGAGACACGGCCCAAACUCCUACGGGAGGCAGCAGUAGGGAAUCUUCCACAAUGGACGCAAGUCUGAUGGAGCAACGCCGCGUGAGUGAAGAAGGUUUUCGGAUCGUAAAGCUCUGUUGUUGGUGAAGAAGGAUAGAGGUAGUAACUGGCCUUUAUUUGACGGUAAUCAACCAGAAAGUCACGGCUAACUACGUGCCAGCAGCCGCGGUAAUACGUAGGUGGCAAGCGUUGUCCGGAUUUAUUGGGCGUAAAGCGAGCGCAGGCGGAAAAAUAAGUCUAAUGUGAAAAGCCCUCGGCUUAACCGAGGAACUGCAUCGGAAACUGUUUUUCUUGAGUGCAGAAGAGGAGAGUGGACUCCAUGUGUAGCGGUGGAUGCGUAGAUAUAUGGAAG
This 688-nucleotide ribosomal RNA is filed under the name uncultured Bacilli bacterium. RNAcentral describes it as "bacterial SSU rRNA". It matches the Rfam family "Bacterial small subunit ribosomal RNA", at positions 48 to 704 of the family's 1533-position model. Lineage: Bacteria; Bacillati; Bacillota; Bacilli. The record is from RNAcentral.